RNAcentral lists this ribosomal RNA (253 nucleotides) under uncultured bacterium. RNAcentral's name for it is "partial 16S ribosomal RNA". It matches the Rfam family "Bacterial small subunit ribosomal RNA", at positions 524 to 776 of the family's 1533-position model. The record is from RNAcentral.
UACGAAGGGGGCUAGCGUUGCUCGGAAUCACUGGGCGUAAAGCGCACGUAGGCGGCUUCUUAAGUCAGGGGUGAAAUCCUGGAGCUCAACUCCAGAACUGCCUUUGAUACUGAAGAUCUUGAGUCCGGGAGAGGUGAGUGGAACUGCGAGUGUAGAGGUGAAAUUCGUAGAUAUUCGCAAGAACACCAGUGGCGAAGGCGGCUCACUGGCCCGGUACUGACGCUGAGGUGCGAAAGCGUGGGGAGCAAACAGG